GGGGUAUAGCUCAGCUGGGAGAGUGCUUGACUGGCAGUCAAGAGGUCACGGGUUCGAUCCCCGUUAUCUCC
This 71-nucleotide transfer RNA is filed under the name bovine gut metagenome. It matches the Rfam family "tRNA". From Rfam's summary of the family: Transfer RNA (tRNA) molecules are approximately 80 nucleotides in length. Their secondary structure includes four short double-helical elements and three loops (D, anti-codon, and T loops). Further hydrogen bonds mediate the characteristic L-shaped molecular structure. tRNAs have two regions of fundamental functional importance: the anti-codon, which is responsible for specific mRNA codon recognition, and the 3' end, to which the tRNAs corresponding amino acid is attached (by aminoacyl-tRNA synthetases). tRNAs cope with the degeneracy of the genetic code in two manners: having more than one tRNA (with a specific anti-codon) for a particular amino acid; and 'wobble' base-pairing, i.e. permitting non-standard base-pairing at the 3rd anti-codon position. The record is from RNAcentral.